This is a long non-coding RNA of Rhineura floridana, 4835 nucleotides long. RefSeq lists it as uncharacterized. The record is from RefSeq and is a predicted model, not a curated record. NCBI's taxonomy places the organism in Eukaryota, Metazoa, Chordata, Lepidosauria, Squamata, Rhineuridae. The transcript is spliced from 6 exons.
UGUCUAUCCUAGUACUGUAAAUGGAUAGAGAGAAAAAUAAAAAAACUAAAAUAACCAGAGACCAAGCCUCAGGUUCAGCAUAGGCAACGGAACUUUAAAGCACCUCUAAGAACAAGACAAAUAUAAGGUCAUGCUGCAGUCAUGUGGGGUGCAUGUGCCAAGAAACAAGGCUUGAUUUUUCCAUGAAGUCAUAUCAAGAGCAGCCCCACAAUGCACCUGCAAUUUUACAGAUCAUACACACUUUGGUAUUUGGGCUCAACACUUGACAAGCCAGCAGGUCCUGCUCUACUAUCCUCAAGAAAAAAAAAAAGCUUUUCUUUCAGCCCCUGACUCACCAGACGUUUAUCCUGCUCAACCCCAGGCCUUCCAGGCUCCAUUCUGGAUCUGCUCCCAUGACCUACCCAGUUGGGACAGUGUUUUGUUUCUUUCAAUCAAUAUUUGGCAUGCAUACCAUGUCAGGUAUCUGUGGUUGUAAUUCCUGAAAUCUAGAGCUGUACAUCGUUCACUUCCCCAGUGCCUCUUUCCUGCCGGAGCUGUGGAGUGUGACAAUGGUGUUUGUAUCCAAGCUAUCAAACGCCAUUAUCACACUAAAUAGCUACUGUUAGAUAAGCCAUCAGAUUCAGAGAAGGAAGGGGGGAAAGGAAGAGAAUUAUUGGAGCAGUAUAUUUUUUUCCAACAAAGCUGAAGGAAUACAACAGCAGCAUGUCAUGACAACUGUUUGCUUUCUGAUGCCAAAAUCUCGUGCAAUAAAUAAUACACUCCACUUUCUUAAAAGUGCACAUUGGGAUCCCAGUUGCUUGUGUUGAGAUGUGCAUGACUCAUGUUUGUGUUCAUGGACUGCAGAGAUAUUUUAGUUAUCAAGCACAAGUGAUUAUGCACAUUCAUUCCUACAUUAUAACAAACAGCCUACACAACUGUCUUUCUUUUUUACUCUCCAAAGCAACAUUAUAAGCAUUUAUUCCACUUAUUAACAAGUUAAUCAUUAUAGCUAUUUUAGUCUGGAACAGGAGUUCCAUUGUUGUAUUGACUUUUGACGAAUGAGCUUGAGAAUGGAGGCAUAAUUCCAUUUUUGGCUCUCAGCUGUGCACAGCUCAGCUGUGUAUACAUUCAUCACUUAGCCAAAUGCUGAGCAGAAUUACUGCCAACUCGUCAUGUUGUCUGGAGGUUUGGCAGAAAAGGAACCGAGAUCCAUUUCCAUAAUUGCUGUAUAAAUAUUCCAUAGGUGUAUAUCUCAUUGAAAUCCAUGUGAAGUAUGUGAAGCGGGAUGCAUGCAUAUACAUACAUUCUAACUUAUGCCAAAAAGGGAGACAGAGGUUAAUUAUCUUUCCCUGCCAUCCUUACUACAUGAUGACAGUAAAAAUAAGUAAGAAAACCAAGAUGUUUUACACAUUAUGCAGCAACAAAACCAGGUUUGCCACUGAGUGUAACCCCAACAGCGCUUUGUAGCCAAUCUAGGCUCUCUGAUUAAUGUACCUGUAUGAUGAAUGUACACAUUGAUAACAUGUUGUCAGCCACACUUUUCAUUUUUACAUGCUUAAAACAGGGGUGGGGGACAUGUGGUUUCCCAGAUGUCAUUGGACUACAGCUCCCAUCAGCCCCAGCCAGCAUGGCCAAUGAUCAGGGAUGAUAGGAGUUGCAGUGCAACAACAUUUGGAGGAUCACAGCUUUCCCACCCAUGGCUUAAAACAUCUUAAGUGUACACCUAGAAUAUUGUGUAAAUUGGUUCUCAAGAUAGUUAUCUAAAUAUUUGCACUAAUUCAUUCUGACAUUUUGCCAAAGCAAACAUAUUUCAACCCUUUAUAUUAUCUUUUAAAUUAUCUACUAUUCUGUCUUUCUUUUUAAGUUCUGAGCUAGGCAGCACAUUUUAUUUAUUUAUAUUUAUUUAUUUAUUUAUUAUUUUAUUUAUACCCCUUCCUUCCUUCCAGCAGGAGCCCAGGGCGGCAAACAGAAACACUAAAAACACUUUAAAACAUCAUAAAAAGACCUUAAAAUACAUUAAAAACAAAACAACAUUAAAAACAUUUUAAAAAACCUUUAAAACAUCUUUUAAAAAAGGGUUAAAGAUAUUAAAAGACAUAUUAAAAGCAAUUCUAACACAGACGCAGACUGGGAUAGGCCUCAACUUAAAAAGCUUGUUGGAAGAGGAAAGUCUUCAAAAGGUGCCAAAAAGAUAGCAGAGAUGGUGCCUGCCUAAUAUUUAACGGGAGGGAAUUCCACAGGGUAGGUGCCACCACACUUAAGGUCUGUUUCCUAUAUUGUGCAGAACAAACCUCCUGAUAAGAUGGUAUCUGCAGGAGGCCCUCACCUGCAGAGCGCAAUGAUCAACUGGUAUAUAAGGGGUAGUAAGACGGUGUUUCAGGUAUCCUGGUCCCAAGCUGUAUAGGGCUUUGUACACCAGAACUAGAACCUUGAAUUUGGCCUGGUAGCAAAUGGGCAGCCAGUGCAAUUCUUUCAGCAGCGGGUGACAUGUUGGCAAUACCCUGCCCCAGUGAGCAGUCUCGCAGCUGCAUUUUGCACUAGCUGCAGCUUCCACACCAACCUCAAGGGCAGCCCCCCAUUGAGCGUAUUACAGUAAUCCAGCCUAGAGGUUACCAGUGCAUGGACAACAGUGGUCAGACUAUCCCGGUCCAGAAAUGGCCGCAGCUGCCUUACCAGCCAAAGCUGGUAAACAGUACCCCUAGCCACGGAGAUCACCUGGAAACAAAACAAACUGGGAGAUCAAGUUUCAAAGCAGGAGAAAGAACCAAGAGAAAGAUGGAGUGUUUUUUUGGUAAGAAGUGGGAUAGUUUGAAGGCCUCCCACUCUAGAAAUAAAUGAGGUUUCCAGACGUUCUGGACCAGGCUAAGCAGUGCAGUAAGAUGGUCCUAUACUCCUCUGGAAGAUGAUCUUUGUUAUGAAUUUGUGAAGCCCACAGAUCAUAGAAUCAUAGAGUUGGAAGGGGCACAUAAGGUCAUCAAGUCCAACCCCCUGCUCAAUGCAGGAAUCCAACUUAAAGCAUACCCAACAGGUGGCUGUCCAGCUGCCUCUUGAAUGCCUCCAGUGUCAGAGAGGCCACCAGCUCCCUAGGUCAUUGGUUCCAUUGUAUCUCUCUAACUGUUAGGUUUUCCUGAUGUUCAGCUGAAAUCUGGCUUCCUGCAACUUGAGCCCAUUAUUCCUUGUCCUGUGCUCUGGGAUGAUAGAGAAGAGAUCCUGGCCUUCCUCUGUGUGACAACCUUUUAAGCAUUUGAACAGUGCUAUCAUAUCUCCUCUCAGUUUUCUCUUCUCAAGGCUAAACAUGCCCAGUUCUUUCAGUUUCUCCCCAUUGGGCUUUGUUUCUAGUCCCUUGAUUAUCCCCAUUGCCCUCCUCUGAACUCAUUCCAGUUUUUCUGCAUCCUUCUUAAAGUGUGGUGUCCACAACUGGACACAGUACUCAAGAUGAAGCCUAACCAGUGCCAAAUAGAGGGGAACCAAUACUUCAUGCAAUCUGGAAACUAUAAUUCUGUUAAUGCCACCUAGAAUAGCAUUUGCUUUUUUUGCAGCCACAUCACACUAUUGGCUCAUAUUCAGCUUGUGAUCAACAACAAUCUCAAGAUCCUUCUCACAUGUAGUAUUGCUGAGCCAAAUAUGCAGUGCUUUCCCAAUUGUGGGGAGGGAGGCCCUAUUCAGGGAUACCUCCUCCCACUGUAAACCCCUGCACUGUUAUCUGUUCAAAAAUGUUUGAGCGCCUCCAGAGCAGAAUCAAGGGCUUGUGGGGAUGGCUUCAGGGGGAGAAGCAGGCACCAAAAAUUGCUUUCCUCCUUGUUCUGUUAAUGCAUAACUUCCACCAGUGGCUACCUGUUUCUAGGACCCUGCAGUGAGGGUGCUUGGAAGAUACUCAAGGUUUCCUCUGGGUAAUGCAAAGGCUGUUAAUUGUAGUUUAUGAUAGCUUAUGGUCUUUAAUAAUGAGCAGCUAUAGGGAAAUUAGAGGCAGUCAUGGUGUGCAUGGGGUAUCAAGUAGGCUUAAUAAAGCUGGAAUGAGCUUGCCCUAGAAUAAGCCCCAGAAUCCUUUGCAAUGCAGAGACAUUCAUGGGGAACUUAAGAGUUAUGGGCCAUAUUCAACUCACUCCCCUAGCAGAAGCCAACACAAGGAUUCCUGCUAGUGCAACAGGACUUCCUCCUCUCUUCUUCCACAUAUGCCCCUGCACCCUCCCCAAAUCUGCUCUGGAACCCCCAGAACAGCAUGCGGGGAGAAGAGAGGGGAGAUCUGCUUAGCACUCUAUGUUGAAUGCAACCCUACGGCUGUAGCAAAAGUUCUUUAAAGUACGUAUGAAGAUCCUCCAUGGUGCAGAGUGGUAAGCGGCGGUAAUACAGUCGAAGUUCUGCUCACGGCCGGAGUUCGAUUCCAACGGAAGGAGGAAGUCGAAUCUCCGGUAAAAGGGGUCGAGGUUCACUCUGCCUUCCAUCCAUCCGUGCUAUGAAAUUACUCCAGGGUUUGGGAUGUGAAAAUAUAUUGGUGAUGUCCCCAGUUCAAACUGAAUCAGUGCUGAAAACCCGCAGUAUCGCCGCCCCUCCAUUUCCAGAGCUGACCCCAGGACAGAAAAAUCUACAUUUGUUGGAGAUGAGACAAACCACUCUGCUAUUCUUAAUAUGUCAUGAUUGUCUUCACCCUUAGUAUCUCCUCCCUGCCCCCCCAUACCUUUUUUUUGUGUGAAAUACAUUCACCAUUUCCCCACAAAUCAGCAGAAGCAGUACAAGAAUAUGAGGGGAUCUGUACAAAAGACUAUCCAUUAUCAGGAGUGAAGGUGCCAUAGAACCAUUACAAAUUCUGUAUGGUGUUAACAACUGCAAGGAAUUCUCAUCUCUAUUCAACCUGCCUG